Molecule: long non-coding RNA, 3363 nt
Organism: Capsicum annuum
Lineage: Eukaryota; Viridiplantae; Streptophyta; Magnoliopsida; Solanales; Solanaceae
Exons: 3
Source: RefSeq, a predicted model, not a curated record
UCAUAGAGUUUGGUGUAACAAAGGUAAAACAUGGUGGAUAAAAAGUACACUUCUAUUUAGUGAACCUCAGUUCACCGCACCUCUCAUUGUGAAAUUUGUAGGAAAUGGAAAGGGGAUUGAUGUUUCUAGGAGUUUUUGGAGUGGACGGCAUGACACGAUCUCAUAAUUAUGGUUGAAUAGAUAUUGAUUGAGAUCUUGCCAAUACCGCCCAUUCCAAUGAUCAUUUUUCUUUUUCCUUUUUCUUUGAGUUGUUGAAUCAGUUGCAUAGUGGGUUUCUUGGUUGUGAAUAAUAUAUUGGCUGAAAAAGAGACGAUGGAUCUGUAUGCUCAGCUGAAAUUGUGUUCAGAUCUAGGUUUUAUUUAGAAUUUUGAAUGAACUGACCCACUAACUGGACAAUUUUCAACAAACAGUGGGGGUUGAUUUUGCCUAAAUUUAAAAAGAAGGGUCUGAAAAAAUGUUAUAUAAUAAAACGCAGGUCCAGUAGAAUUACCUGAUAAUAUUAUGCUGAUGGAACGCAGUAGGUUUCGGUGGAAUUAGUUGGCUUUCUUGUUAGGACUUGUAGCUCCAAGUGAUGUUUCAAAAUUAGCUGGUGAUUAUUGAUUGAUAAAAGUUCAUUUGUCACACGUUUUUAUGUGUAAAAUUUGCAAGUAAAUAUGGUAGGCUGUGAAAAAGAGGUAGUUGGGUUGUAUGCUUGAGCUUGGAUUCUAUUGUGUUCUGGUUUUAUUAAAUGGUUAACUCUAUCUUAUUUGUUACCUUAUUUUCACUGUCCAUUAUUUGUUUCAGAAUAACAUUAGCCUGAGAAGAAAAGAACAAAAGUAUUCAUUUAGUAGAAAGGAAAGAUGAAGAGUACUAGCAGGACAGGAGGGUAAGCUUACAAUAUAUCUUUAUUGUGAUUACAAGGGGAAAAAAAUAGAAAGUGCAGCGUAUGUUGUAGCUGCACAACUAGCUCUCCAAAUCGAACAAACUGGAUAAAUCUUCAGCAAACAGACAGUUGAUUAUGUUAAAAUUAGGAUAAGGGACCGAAAUGCAUUUGAUGAAGUUCAAAUCCUGUUUCUGAAUGAAUCUCAAGUCAUAUCAUCUCAUCAUAUCAUUGUCCGUGAUUGUGACCCUUCUAAGGUGCUGAAAGGAUUUCACAACAAGUUCUAUAAUCACUAUAAUAUCAACUCAAAAGUUAAGUGCUUCUUCUUAAUGGCUUUGCCUUUUAUUGCUUUUGUGCAUGAUGGAAAGAAAAAGAUCUGAUCUUGGUGAAUGUAUAUAAUAAACUUCUGUGUCGAUUGAUUAAAUUAUUAUCUCUUGAAUUGUCUCCUCAUAUCAAUUUUCUUAUACUAGUAUUGUUUUAGCAUUUUGGCCAAUCUAUUUGUUUUCAUUUUGGCAAGUCUUGAUAUAGCAUUAGGCUAACUUGUCAAUCUGUGGGAAUUGGACAUGUCCUCACUAAAUACCUGAGUACCUGCAUAUGUACAUUUUAUCUUUCUUAGUGAUAUGCUGCCCUAUUUCAGUUUCUAGGGGAUUGUCUAACUGCUGAAGUUGAAAUUACACCUGUUAAUUUAGUUUAUUAUUAGUACUUUUCUUUUUUGGAUUAAUGAUUGCUGCACUUGGUUGAACUAGCGACAGAUAUAUGUAUAGCUAUACUUACAUACAUACUAUCCAUUCAAUUGAAGUUCUUUUACAGAUAACUUUCUUUGAAUGACUAAAAUCGAUUACUUCAAGAAUCACACUAUAGCUGUAAUAUCCUCUUCAUUUGUCGUGAACAUGAUAUUCUUUUAUCGAAUUAAAUUUGACAGGUAAGGCAAGUUCUCUUUGAAGUCCCUUGGUGGACAAAGCUUAUUGUGAAAGUUAUAGUGCAGCUGAGAAAUGCAGAACUAAGAAUGCCGCUAAGCUCUUACUAGAGUUUCUUUUGUCCUCUGGUAAACCAUUAAUCUCCACUGGUCUAUUCUUUUGACAUCUGCAGAAAGUGAGAACCAAGCUCUACGUUCGAACAAUAAGAGUUUCUACACAGAUGUUCAUUUUUCAUUUUUUCUUGUAUAUUGUUGUGGCCUUCUCCUGAUGUGAAUAAUAACUCUGCACUAUGAGUACACAUUAGUCGGGUGGCAAAAAGACCACGUCAACCCAAAAGGAACGUUAUGACCCAAAUUCUGUUUAGUCUUGAUGACACCUAACCAACCCAUCAAGCGAAUAGAUCAACACAAAUAUAGCCAAAACAUGAGAUAAUGGCAUAAAAAUAUGGUUUGGAUUGGAACUUGAUUGGAACAUGUUGGAAUUUUCAGGCACGAGUUAGAUUAGUCUGUUUAAAAGUAUCAAGUAUAAACUGGAGAGGGUCCUUGUGUGUAUGCUUACAUUGUUUUGAUAUUUUCAGUCUCUUCAUGAUGUCUUUGUGAUUUUUAUUAGCUAUCUAUCUUGGUUUAUCAUUCAGUUAGCAUCACACACAACCUGAUUCUGAUGUAACCUUUGGCGAGUUAAUAGUUUUUCAUUAUUGAUUCAGUACCGAGUAAGAUGUGUAGUUCAUAGACCAAUAGGUGUGUGGCAUGUGACUAAGUUCAGUCUGGGCACGAUGUGAUCUUUGGAAACUUAGUGGCUUCCAUUAUUGAGCUAGUGUUGAAUAAGUUAUGUAGUCCAUGGUCCGCGACAAGUGGUUAGCCUCGCAUUUAAUGCUUCGAAGACAGGACAAGACAUGAAGAUUAACUAUCCCAUGUAUUGGAAGCAGUAGCAAGGUACCUUUAGUUAUUUGAGAUUAUUGAAUGUAUUUAAUUUGGUACUUUGAUUUAAUGCUUCGCUAUAUUUAAUUCUAUAUGGUUUAAAUUAUCUCAUGUGCAAGAAUUUUCCUAGGUGCAAGAUGAGAGGGCGAGUAUUAUGAACUUGCUGGGUCAUUCGACUCACACUUACUAUUUGGUGCAGGACCUGUUGGGAGUGGUCCAGUAGAUUUCCAGAUCAUUUCGGUCAUGUUCAGCUGAGGCGUCUGUUGAUAAUGAAGGCGAGUUGAUUGGGAUGCCUUUGGCCACGGAUCAUAGUUGGUGUGGUGGCGUGAGCACAAAAAGGGAUACCUCAGUGUACUAAAUCUAAAACUACUGCUAAGGACGGAGUCUGUGAGCACAAAUCAUUAGAAUUCAAGAAUUCAAAGUCAUGAUUCUUUAUCACUCGAUGCACUCCGUGACAUUUUGGGUAGUCUCUUUAGGGGAACUUCUCGAUGGCUUCCUUCUUGCUUAGCCAUAUCAAAGAAUGCUUUCACUUCAACCUGUUCCAAAAAUUAAAGAGCAAUGGUAAGACGAAUGCUUUAUAUCAAUGUUGUAAUAUAUGGGUUAAACAUCUUCUAAACAUCAUAGAUAUCAAUUGUUAAGUGAUUUAAUCAUGGAUAAUCUUUUGAGGGAA